RNAcentral lists this ribosomal RNA (460 nucleotides) under uncultured bacterium. RNAcentral describes it as "partial 16S ribosomal RNA". It matches the Rfam family "Bacterial small subunit ribosomal RNA", at positions 338 to 795 of the family's 1533-position model. The record is from RNAcentral.
CCUACGGGUGGCAGCAGUGAGGAAUAUUGGUCAAUGGACGAGAGUCUGAACCAGCCAAGUAGCGUGAAGGAUGACUGCCCUAUGGGUUGUAAACUUCUUUUAUAAAGGAAUAAAACGAGGCACGUGUGCCUUUUUGCAUGUACUUUAUGAAUAAGGAUCGGCUAACUCCGUGCCAGCAGCCGCGGUAAUACGGAGGAUCCGAGCGUUAUCCGGAUUUAUUGGGUUUAAAGGGAGCGUAGAUGGGUUGUUAAGUCAGGUGUGAAAGUUUGCGGCUCAACCGUGAAAUUGCAAUUGAAACUGGCAGUCUUGAGUACAGUUGAGGUAGGCGGAAUUCGUGGUGUAGCGGUGAAAUGCAUAGAUAUCACGAAGAACCCCGAUUGCGAAGGCAGCAUACUAAACUGUGACUGACAUUGAUGCACGAAAGCGUGGGGAGCAAACAGGAUUAGAUACCCGAGUAGUC